This 507-nucleotide ribosomal RNA is filed under the name uncultured bacterium. Its description in RNAcentral is "partial 16S ribosomal RNA". It matches the Rfam family "Bacterial small subunit ribosomal RNA", at positions 28 to 507 of the family's 1533-position model. The record is from RNAcentral.
GACGAACGCUGGCGGCGUGCCUAAUACAUGCAAGUCGAACGCAUUUUCUUUCACCGUAGCUUGCUACACCGAAAGAAAAUGAGUGGUGAACGGGUGAGUAACACGUGGGUAACCUGCCCAUCAGCGGGGGAUAACACUUGGAAACAGGUGCUAAUACCGCAUAAUUCCAUUUACCGCAUGGUAGAUGGAUGAAAGGCGCUUUUGCGUCACUGAUGGAUGGACCCGCGGUGCAUUAGCUAGUUGGUGGGGUAACGGCCUACCAAGGCUGCGAUGCAUAGCCUACCUGAGAGGGUGGUCGGCCACACUGGGACUGGGACACGGCCCAGACUCCUACGGGAGGGAGCAGUAGGGAAUCUUCGGCAAUGGACGCAAGUCUGACCGAGCAACGCCGCGUGAGUGAAGAAGGUUUUCGGAUCGUAAAACUCGGUUGUUAGAGAAGAACAAGGAUGAGAGUGGAAAGUUCAUCCCUUGACGGUAUCUAACCAGAAAGCCACGGCUAACUACGUG